UGGGGGAUAGUCUAAUGGCAAGACACCGGGUUCUGGCCCCGGAAUUCUAGGUUCGAGUCCUAGUCCCUCAGCCA
RNAcentral lists this transfer RNA (74 nucleotides) under Deltaproteobacteria bacterium. Its description in RNAcentral is "tRNA-Gln". It matches the Rfam family "tRNA". From Rfam's summary of the family: Transfer RNA (tRNA) molecules are approximately 80 nucleotides in length. Their secondary structure includes four short double-helical elements and three loops (D, anti-codon, and T loops). Further hydrogen bonds mediate the characteristic L-shaped molecular structure. tRNAs have two regions of fundamental functional importance: the anti-codon, which is responsible for specific mRNA codon recognition, and the 3' end, to which the tRNAs corresponding amino acid is attached (by aminoacyl-tRNA synthetases). tRNAs cope with the degeneracy of the genetic code in two manners: having more than one tRNA (with a specific anti-codon) for a particular amino acid; and 'wobble' base-pairing, i.e. permitting non-standard base-pairing at the 3rd anti-codon position. The record is from RNAcentral. Lineage: Bacteria; Pseudomonadati; Myxococcota; Myxococcia.